ACUCAAAGGAAUUGACGGGGGCCCGCACAAGCGGCGGAGCAUGCGGAUUAAUUCGAUGCAACGCGAAGAACCUUACCUGGGUUUGACAUACACGGGAAGCUCCCAGAGAUGGGAGUCUCUUUGAUACUCGUGUACAGGUGGUGCAUGGCUGUCGUCAGCUCGUGUCGUGAGAUGUUGGGUUAAGUCCCGCAACGAGCGCAACCCUCGUUCCAUGUUGCCAGCAAUUCGGUUGGGGACUCAUGGGAGACUGCCGGGGUCAACUCGGAGGAAGGUGGGGAUGACGUCAAGUCAUCAUGCCCCUUAUGUCCAGGGCUUCACGCAUGCUACAAUGGCCGGUACAAAGGGCUGCGAUCCUGUGAGGGUGAGCGAAUCCCAAAAAGCCGGUCUCAGUUCGGAUUGGGGUCUGCAACUCGACCCCAUGAAGUCGGAGUCGCUAGUAAUCGCAGAUCAGCAACGCUGCGGUGAAUACGUUCCCGGGCCUUGUACACACCGCCCGU
This 497-nucleotide ribosomal RNA is filed under the name uncultured bacterium. RNAcentral's name for it is "partial 16S ribosomal RNA". It matches the Rfam family "Bacterial small subunit ribosomal RNA", at positions 899 to 1397 of the family's 1533-position model. The record is from RNAcentral.